Molecule: ribosomal RNA, 484 nt
Filed under: uncultured bacterium
Lineage: Bacteria
Description: partial 16S ribosomal RNA
Rfam family: Bacterial small subunit ribosomal RNA
Source: RNAcentral
AUUGAACGCUGGCGGCAGGCCUAACACAUGCAAGUCGAGCGGAUGAAGGGAGAUUGCGCCUGGCUGCAGCGGCGGACGGGUGGGUAAGGCAUAGGAAGCUGACUGACAGUUAGGGAUAACGUACCGACACGAGCGCGAAUACCGCAUACGUCCAGAGAUAGAACGUGGUGGAUCUUCAGACCUAGACGUAUUAGAUGAGCCUACGACGGAUUAGCUAGUUGGUUGGGUAACGGCCUACCAAGGCGACGAUCCGUAGCAGACCUGAGAGGAUGAUCAGCCACACUGGAACUGAGACACGGUCCAGACUCCUACGGGAGGCAGCAGUAGGGAAUCUUCCACAAUGGGCGAAAGCCUGAUCCAGCAAUGCCGCGUGAGUGAAGAAGGUCUUCGGAUUGUAAAACUCUGUAAGUUGGGAAGAACAAAAGUGAGUGUAACUCUUCACGUCUUGACGUUACCUAAACAAAAAGCCACGGCUAACUUCGUG